RNAcentral lists this long non-coding RNA (943 nucleotides) under Apteryx rowi (Okarito brown kiwi). RNAcentral's name for it is "lncRNA (ENSARWG00000017107.1)". The record is from RNAcentral. Lineage: Eukaryota; Metazoa; Chordata; Aves; Apterygiformes; Apterygidae.
AUGCAGGGACAUUCRGAGGCUUCAGGAAGCCGUCGUGGAGGGUUAGGAUGGGACGUGCCUACGGAGUCCGAAAGUGCCUGGCUUGUUCCCAGCCAUCAGCCCUUCAUGCUCUGGGCUUGCAAACAGGCAGCGCUGGCUGCUCCUGCUGCCGGGCGAGAACAUCAAGCCCUAGCGCGAGCAGGCUGCAUCCCCUACCGAAUGCUGCAACGGAGCUGCACUAGCAGAAAGGGUCCCUCACUUCAUGCCCACUUUGAUCCCCGCAGUUGCAGCCCCUCUGAUCCCUGUGCCAUCCAGCUGGGCUGUUUCAGUCACCUCCCCYGGGACACUUGUUUUCUACCAGGUUCCUCCUUGGGUCUACAAGAACCUCUUUCYUCACCUCCAGCUUGGCCAAGCGUCCUGUAAUUGAGAGCCAGCGUGAUCAAGCUAGAUUUGUGGAUCGAGGACGCACGCGUGAACGAAACGGCGCUCACCGCCUGGCUGCGUUCGUUAUCUCUGCGGCCGCCAGCGAGGGCCGGCGUUAUCGCUGAAAUCCUGUCCCUCCCCGAUAAAGGCUCUCGGCAGAGAAAACGUGGCUGCAGAGAUGCAGGCAAAGCCCUCCAUCUUCGAGCCUGCGUGGAAAACCCGCUGUUGGAGGGAGGAAGAGCAGAUUCAUGCCCCCAGAAAGAGCUCCUGAACGUGGCUGGAGCCUACAGGAGGUAGCGCUGGUUUCGCCACGCAGGAUUUCCAAAGGGGGCUGGGGAGAGGCACCUGGGUCCUCCACGGCUGCCGGGAACUUGCUGGGGGCUCUCGUUUACUUCUUGCUGCCUUGCCCACGCUUCUGUUUCUAGCUGUGUCCAUCUUAGCUGUCGAAUGACUAAGGAUUUCAGCGCAUCGAUCCGCUCUGUUGUGGAGACUCGCAAAAUACCAGUCAGCAAUAAAGAUGCAUAAAAGCAAUAAAUUCCCA